Molecule: ribosomal RNA, 482 nt
Filed under: uncultured bacterium
Lineage: Bacteria
Description: partial 16S ribosomal RNA
Rfam family: Bacterial small subunit ribosomal RNA
Source: RNAcentral
AUUGAACGCUGGCGGCAUGCUUUACACAUGCAAGUCGAACGGUAACAGCACUUCGGUGGCUGACGAGUGGCGAACGGGUGAGUAAUACAUCGGAACGUGCCUAGUAGUGGGGGAUAACUACUCGAAAGAGUAGCUAAUACCGCAUGAGAUCUAAGGAUGAAAGCAGGGGACCUUCGGGCCUUGCGCUACUAGAGCGGCUGAUGGCAGAUUAGGUAGUUGGUGGGAUAAAAGCUUACCAAGCCGACGAUCUGUAGCUGGUCUGAGAGGACGACCAGCCACACUGGGACUGAGACACGGCCCAGACUCCUACGGGAGGCAGCAGUGGGGAAUUUUGGACAAUGGACGCAAGCCUGAUCCAGCAAUGCCGCGUGCAGGAUGAAGGCCUUCGGGUUGUAAACUGCUUUUGUACGGAACGAAAAGCCCUCUUCUAAUACAGGAGGGUCAUGACGGUACCGUAAGAAUAAGCACCGGCUAACUACGUG